Molecule: long non-coding RNA, 2966 nt
Organism: Capra hircus (goat)
Lineage: Eukaryota; Metazoa; Chordata; Mammalia; Artiodactyla; Bovidae
Exons: 2
Source: RefSeq, a predicted model, not a curated record
GGGCAUGACAACCCAUUCCAGUAUGCUUACCUGGAGAAUCCCAUAAACAGAGUUUCCUGGUGGGCUCCAGACCGUAGUGUCACACAGAGUACAACAUGACUGAAACAACUUGGCACACACAGGGAAGAAGUGCCAAUAACUUUGUUGCAGCCUAUCUUUAAAAGCAGAAGGAGCCAUGCUGGUCAUUAGUUUUAGCGGCAGCACAGAGACAAUCAAUACAGGUGUCACAUCAUGUGUUCCAUCAUGCUAGAGGAUAAUAAAACAAUAUUUAUUCUUGUAGGUGAAAAUGGCUGAAGAAUCCUGAAUUACUCUAGCAUCUCUUCCCUCAGUGGCUCUACAAGACAACCAGUUAUAAAACAGAUGAAGUUUUCUUUAAUAUCUUUGAACCUCAGUUCUCUCAUCUAUGGAAUUAAGGAGCAUGAGAGCAGCCAGAAGUAACCUCAAGGAGGCAGGAUGAUGAUUGAGGAGAGGUCUCCAUAUUCACCCAUAGAAGUUUUCCAGGCUGUGCAGAAGCUACGGGAGGGCAGGAAACUGCUUUCUUCUUGCACAAUGAGAAGGUCCACUCUUUAAACCUUUCAGUUACAUGUGUGUUCACUUAACGCCUGUGAAAUGUGCAAGAGUUACUCACAUUCCUUCUCAUUAACCCCACUCUCUUUUUUUUCCCCUGUGCUGGGAGAUUUCUAUCAUUUCUUAAAAUAAUUGCCAGGGUUAUGCCAGAUAUAUAGAUCAAUUAAGUCAAAUGGUGCCUCUGAAAACAAAUGGGAGCAUGAAAGCCUCACUUUUAGGUUGCUGGGGGAUUUUUUUGGUUUGUUUUUUUUUUACCAUCUCCAGACACCUGAUGAUGGUAAUACCAUCCUUCAUAUGACUCCAUGUGCCAAAAAAAUGUAGUUAAGAAUGUGCAUGCAUGCAUUUUAAGUCUCUUCAGUCUUGUCUGACUCUUUGUGACCCUAUGGACUGGAGCCCACCAGGCUCCUCUGUCCAUGGGAUUUUUCAGGCAAAAAUACCAAAGUGGGUUUCCAUGCCCUCCUCCAGGGCAUCUUCCCCAGCCAGGGAUCAAACCCACAUCUCUUAUGUCUCCUGCAUUGGCAUCAGGUUCUUUACCAUUGGCGCCACUUGGAAAGCCCAAUUAAGAAUGUUGGUGUUCUGUUAGAAAUUGGUGAAUUAUAAUCGACCAUUCAUGUAAUUAGAAAAGGCAACCAAGAGGUUGAGAAUAGAUUUUGUGAUCAAAGAAACUUUGGGUGCUGGAAAUACUAAUGGAGAUUAAUGGAAAUUAAGCCUCAGUCUAUCUUCUGUUUAUUAAGGAUUAUAUUACCUUCUCUUCUUUACCUUUUAAGACAUGGGAAGCUGGGAGGGGACAAUCUCUUUCAGGCUACAUGUUUAACUUGCUUGUUCAGUUUCUCCUUAACAGUAGCAGGAUGAAAAAUUAUGUAUACAUAUAUAACCUCACAAAAAGAACAUCAUUCUCUUUUCAUCCUCAUACCAUGUCCACUCUCACUGAACUUCUCCAAGAUGAGCUAAAGUAAUAAAUCUAUUUAAUUUUGCAAACGUACUUCUGGAAUUGUCCCUGGCACCCAGGAUUAUCCAAGGUAAAUAAGCAUCUCUUACAGCUUUUCUCUUAAUAAAGUGAAAAUUAUAGUUUAGAAGAAUUUCUGAAAUAAGAUUAUUGGGAUUUAUAAGGAACUUCCAUAAAAGAGUAUGACCUACUGAAAAGAAACGGGACAGAAGUUUUUGGCACCUUUGUUGAUUCAGUUGACACUAGCUUCUAGAAUGGUGCAUUACAGAAGCCCUGGCACGUUUAGAACGUCCAUCCAAACACUGUGAUAACCACAGACACUUUAGGAAGACCUCAGCAUUCAUUUGUGCUGUGACUACGACACAGUGUCCAGGCUUCUACCUUCUGAAUGGCUUACUCUGAUGUUGCUCUUUUCAGACGACUGAAUCAACAACAAUACAAAGGUGAUUUUACACUGGUUACUCACACCUAAGGUCAUCACGCCGGUGCCCUAGAUAGGCUAUCAAUUGUUCCAUUUACAGCAUACUCCAGAAAACAGUUCCAGAUAGAGGGCCAACCCUUGCAGCCAGGGAGUAGGUCACAAUGACUAGAGUCCAGGAAAACAGUUGAGUCACUGUGGGCGGAAGAGAUAAAACCCGCACUAGGGCAGGAGUUAUGCUUUCAAUGAGCACCCAACCUUGUUAACAAAUAUCAACACUCAGGACAAAAAGUUACGGUCAGAACCCUCAGAAGGCUGGCAAGGUUGUACGUCACUAUAACCACUUCAAGAAUCUGUUUGGAAUUAUCUGCUAUAACUGAAAUUUUACACCAAGAAACAUACAAAAAUGCUUAUGGUAGUGUUAUUUGUAACACCUCCCCCACAUGGAAAGAACUCAAAAGUUCACAACAGAAGAAUGAGUUUUUUAGUGUGACAUACAGUGUCUCCUACAUCCAAACCUUCAAGUUGCAAACUGGCAAAGAGGCGAACAUUCAUUUGCUUGUCCAGUCAUGUAAGUUAUUUAGCUCACGCGUCUGGUGUACGUUGUCAUGUGUGGGUAUCCUCUACAAGUGGUUGUGCUUUUGUGUACUUCACUGUGUAGCACUGUAUAGAGCAUUGUAGUGCAGGGUCUUUAUUUCCAGCCCAGGAUGCCUGGAAGCAAGAAGGUAGAUAGAACUAAAUCUAGCAAGGAACCAGAUACUGUGCCAUCAGUGUCAGUCAUGAGUAAAAUUACAGCUUGCCCUCCAUCUCCUAUUGCUGACAGUCCUUCGGCUCCACCAUUUCCCACCCCCUCUCCCUCCUCCAGUCAGUUACUCUUCUUGCCUGUUCACUUGAUGCCAGCCCCUAUAUGCCAGCUGUUGUACUAUACUACUGUACUCAUCAAGAUACUGUCAGAUUAAAAAUGUUCCCUUUAUUUUUUGUGUUUGUUUUUUAUGUAUUGCUUGUGUGAAAGCAUUAAAAACAUAUUAUAGUAUA